UAUCUGAUGGCACAUUAUUCUAGUCAAUUAAACUUACUAUGAAGGUGAACCUAAAAACUCACUAAAGAGCACAUCUGUGAAACUUCUUGUGUCUGCUUUCUGCGCCCAGCUUAGGGUGGAUGCUGGAAGGUAAGGUUAUUGGGCACUCAUAAUGGCAUAUGAAUCUGUUCCAAUCUCCGUGGAGACCUAACUUUGUAUUAUUACCUAAAAAUAAUAUGAACUAGGAUUGAACCUACUAUGUGGGGAAACUUACGAGUAGUGUAGCUUGUCUUGCGUGGUUAUAGGGAAUAUUUGAUCAGUUAGAUAAUUCCUAGCUAGACUUAUCUAAUAUUGCAACUUGAAACUAUAACUGCAAAAAAGAACUAAUAGUAAGAUAUUGCCAGGGGAAAUCCCCUAGAGUGACAUUUUUAUAGGAUUACAGUAUGUACUAAGUGGCAAUCAAGUCAUAUAUCUGGUGACAAUAUAUUGAUUUCUUUAAAGGGAAACCGCACGUUUGGUAACGAACUGUAGAAAUCAGGGAAACCCUACUUGACCUAAGACAUAAAGUUAACUGUAAAAAUAGCCAUUUUAUUGAAAU
This 577-nucleotide small RNA is filed under the name pig gut metagenome. The record is from RNAcentral.